RNAcentral lists this ribosomal RNA (305 nucleotides) under uncultured bacterium. Its description in RNAcentral is "bacterial SSU rRNA". It matches the Rfam family "Bacterial small subunit ribosomal RNA", at positions 337 to 634 of the family's 1533-position model. The record is from RNAcentral.
ACCUACGGGAGGCAGCAGUAGGGAAUCUUCCACAAUGGGCGUAAGCCUGAUGGAGCAACGCCGCGUGGGUGAAGAAGGUCUUCGGAUCGUAAAACCCUGUUGUUAGAGAAGAAAGUGCGUGAGAGUAACUGUUCACGUUUCGACGGUAUCUAACCAGAAAGCCACGGCUAACUACGUGCCAGCAGCCGCGGUAAUACGUAGGUGGCAAGCGUUAUCCGGAUUUAUUGGGCGUAAAGGGAACGCAGGUGGUCUUUUAAGUCUGAUGUGAAAGCCUUCGGCUUAACCGGAGUAGUGCAUUGGAAACU